This 30494-nucleotide long non-coding RNA is filed under the name Capsicum annuum. RNAcentral's name for it is "long non-coding RNA (CANN_LNC014133)". Lineage: Eukaryota; Viridiplantae; Streptophyta; Magnoliopsida; Solanales; Solanaceae. The record is from RNAcentral.
UCCUGUUAGGUAAAUCCACCAAAUCCCAUGUGUGAUUUUUGUCUAAUGCAUGUAUUUCCUCAAGUAUCACAUUUGACCAUCUAGAAUAAUGCAAAUCCUCCUUCAUAAUUUUUGGUACAGAAACAGAGGAGUCUAGAGAAGCAGUGAAGGAUAUAGAUGUAGAAGAUAAGUGAUCAUAAGAAACAAAGUUAGCAAUGGAAUAUUUGAUUUUCAAGUUCAUACACCUUUGCAGAGAGCAAUAGGGAGGUUAAGAUUUUUUGGAGGAUCAAAUAGAGGAUGACUUGAUGGAAAAGGUACCAGUGUAGGGCAUGUAUCAUCGUCUCUCAUAUCCUCAAACAAACUUGAACAAUUGAUGGUCUUUUUAAAAACAGAUGUCGAUGGCAUAAGAUUUGAUUGGUUCUCAAGAGAAUAUUAGGAGACGGAGGAAUAACAUGACCUGACUGAACAAUAUGAGUAACCUAAUAAACUAACCCUUCAUUUUCCUCUUCUUAACUUGUAGAACUGGGAGGGGUAUAGAAGAAUGGUGUAGUCUCGGAAAAUACCACAUCAUUUGACAUCGGAAAUUUACCAAGCUCAGUAUAAUAACAUUGAUACCCCUUCUAAAGACAAGAAUAAUCUAAGAAAACAUACUUUAAUAUCUUGGGGUCCAACUUGGUAACAGAUGGUCGAACAUCUCAAACAUAACACUUACUUCCAAAUACCUUUGGUUCCGCGAGAAAUAAUGAUUUGUUUAUAAAAAGAACAUUGUAAGUCAUAUUACCAAGAAGCACAAUCGAUGGCAUAUGAUUAAUAAGAAGCAAGUCAUAGAAACUGCAUCAACCCAAAAUAGUUUAGGAGCCUUUAUUUGGAACAAAAGUACCCGAGCUAUCUCAGGUAGAUGUUUAUUCUUCCUUUCAUCAACUCGAUUUUGAAGAAGGUGUAUCAACACAUGACAACUGAUCUAGAAUAACAUUUUGUCUCAUGUACGACUGAAACACUUCUAACAUGUAUUAUUUAGUAUUAUCACUCCUUAGAAUAUGCACUGAAUCAUUGAAUUGAGUUUUGACUUCAGAACAAAAGGCACAAACGUAAGGAAAUACUUCAAAGCAGCUUCUCAUAAAAUAAAUCCUAGUUAUCAUAGAUAAAUCAUCCACAAAAGUGAAAAAAUACUUGUGUAUAAUUUUGGAAACGGCAUAACAUGGUCCCCAAACAUCAGAAUGAAUUAGCUCAAAAGUUGACUCAACUCAUUUAUUAACCUUUGGACCUAAUAUUCUCCAAUUAUGUUUUGCAAGUUGGCAUGAUUCACAGUCCAAAGAAGGAACAUUCUAAAAUUAAGGGUAGAGCUUCUUUAACAAAGAUAAAGAAGGAUGUCCCAAACGACAAUGUGCUUCAAAUAGAGACAUGAAACUUGAGCCAAAAAUAAAUUGAGGCUCAUAGUCAUUAAAGAUAUAUAGAUUACACGUCAUUUACUAGUAACCUUAUGCAUAGAAAGAUCAUAAAACAAACAAUGACUGGGGAAUAAUGAAAUAUAACAAUUAAGAUCUCUAGUUAAUAUACUUACAGAAAUCAGAUUGAAAACCAACUAUGUUAUAUUUAACACAAAUGACAAGGUAAUCGAGAAGGUAGCUUUAACGGUCCUAGAUUCUAUAAUAUUACAUGUUCACCCAUUAGUUAUUAUUACCUAAGAGGGUUCUUUGUGUGAUCAAAAUGUAGAAAAUAUAUUAGGAUUACCUGUCAUGUGAUCUGUAGCACCUGGAUCAAUCACCCAGUGGUUCAAAGAGGAUACAAAACAUGUUUUUCUUGAAUCAACAAGGAUAGUAACUAAAGUGAAUUCUAUAAGCGAUUCUCGAUACUAAGAAAACUUUGCAAACUCAUUUGCCAAAACCAAAAUUAUCAUACCCUUAUGAUUUGUAGCCAUAUUUUCUCUUUCUAAUUAUUUGAGUUAUAUUUUCCAACUCAAAUACCCAAAGUAUUAAUAUAGAGAAGCCAACAAAAAGACCAACAAAUCUGAUAAUGAAAAGACAAUUCUUUAAUAUCACCAAUGCAAUAAAAAAGAACUUAAGAAUAGCAAGUAGAAACCAACUUGCCCAAGAAAAUAAUUAUAGCCGAUAGUCAAAUACCAAAUUAAUUUGACGCUAACAAUAGAGUAGGAUACAAAGCACAAAGGAACCAGAUAUCAAGUAACUUGAUAUUUGAGAAAAGUUUAGCAGUCACAGCAGUACCAAAUAGAAAUUCAAAUCUGAAUAGCAAAAAACUAUAGGAAAAAUAUAAACCUAAAAGUGAUGAAAAGCUAUCCAAUAGUGUUUCAACAGAAGAUAACAUAUGGAUUAUGCGAAGACUGAUGAGACGUGCUGAUGAAUGAGAGGCAUACAUGAAAUACAGGUGGCGCGUGAGUGUCACUCAUUUAACACACAAUUGUCAAAAAAGUUCCGAUCAAAAAUGGUGGUCUGUCUCCUCCUAUAGUGGUGGUAAAACAAAUUGACCACUUUGGAAGUGACCGAUUCAAAAUCCAAGCUUGAUUCUCAAAGAUAGUAACAUAUGAUAGUUGCCUUUCAAAGUGGAACUAAGAUAAGAUCAAAGAGCCUAUAGGCUCUGAUACCAUGUAAUUUAAUGAAAGUUUAAUGGAUAUCUUAUUCCAACAUGUAAUAAAGGAAUAAAUGCAAUAUAUAGGUGCUAACUUAGGAAAGAAAAUAAAGAGUGAAUGCUAUAAAUUUGCUACCUAAUUAUGUCUAUGGACAUUAUAAAGGAUGAUGUCGACAUAUAUUAUGUAAAAACUAGUAAUAACAUUAUAAAAAAAAUUGCUACAAGUAACCAACUGCCUUUUACCAUGAUAAUUUUUGAGAAUUAAUUCCCUGUAGGCUACAAGCAUCAAAAUAGAUAAAGGUAGCCCUCGAUAUUUUUCAACUCAAUUAUUUUCAAUUUAGUACAAUUAUAUACUAUACCAAAUAACCAACUGUAAAGUAAUUCUUGACUCAUCUAAACUCUGAGGCAUCAUUUCAUAAGGGGGAAUAUGGGAAUUAGCAUACUUAUUAUAAUACCUCAUAAAAGUCUUACCUUGUUUCAGCCCUCAUUGCAUGUUAAAGGAGACCAAAACUUGAAAAUUUGGCUAAGUGUUGAGGACUUAGUCAUUUCCACAAACCUUUAAGCUUUACUAAUUUUAUUUUUGAUCUACCCAACCUCAGAAUGUUGAUUUUUAAAUUGAUUAAUGAUCGGAGUUGAUCAAAGUACGUCUCGAAUAAGUUUUAAAAUUUUUGGAUGAGUGCAAGGGCAUGUUUAGAGAAGCAAAAUAGUAGCAACACUGGGAUGGUACAGCGGUGCCCCUUCCAUUGCACUGCACUAGAGCCCAUGAUGCCCCCUCCAAUGCACCCCACUGGAGCCCGUGGCGCGCCCUCUGUCUCCCAUCUAGCUUUUUGUUCCUCAUUAAUUAAGGGCAAUUGGGUUAUUUUUUCUUACCCAAACACGUCCGUAACAUGAAAUUUAAGUCCCCAAGGAGCAUUAUUUGCCCCUUCAUUCAAAAAAUUUCUCAAAAAAUCCAUCUCCCUCCUCAAGAACAAACUCAAACUAUUCUCAAGUAAUCAACGAAUUCAAGCUUCCAAUCUCAAGAAAUUCCUAAGAAUCUUCAUGAAUUUGACUAGUGAGGUAUGUAUGAUGUUCAUCCAUGGGUUCCUUUCACCCAUGGGGUCCAAGAACCCCUUUUUAAUCUUAAAUUAUAAGUUUUACAUGUUUCAAGUUGAAUUAUUUCCAUGAAUCUGAUGUUAAUUCAAUUGCAAGUUAUGUUUGUAAGUAUUUUUAAUGGAAAGAGCCAUUAUAUGUUUUGAAUGUGUAAUCAUUACAUUAAAUUCAUAAGCUAUGAUUUUUGUCAUGUAAUUAUGUUAUUCUCACAUGCUUUACCCAUUUCCAUGCUUAAGUUUAUGAUUCUCAUAUGUGUGAUGAAAUUCUAAAGUGUUGAAUUUUGAACAAUGAUCCCCUACUAUGGUUUAAAGCUUUUAUAUAGCAUUAUUGAUAAUUCCAUUUAGUGCUGGUGGGUUAUGAACACCUGAUACCUAUGUGAUUUACAUAAAUUUAGUUUUUAAGUAUUCAGACAGUUAAUCCAUAAAUUUUAUCAGUAUUCUCACAAUUUCAUAUUCCUGAUGAGCAGUAUCAGUUAUGUAAUAAUAUUUAGUCAAGCUUAUUCCAGUCUAGUCUCAGUGUCAGUUUAGUUGGGAGUAGGAUUUAGCACCGAGCAAACCCAGGGAUAAGGGCUCACCUACUAGUAUAGGGUGUGACCCUUAGUAACAAUCCCUGAGUUAUAUAACUAUGUAGCCAGCGUAGGUUUGAGAUAUCCACCUGCCAAUUUAUGGUUGACACAUAUCUCAUGAGAGCACCUAAAAGUAUAGGGUGAAUCCAUAGUUCUUUGAGACACCAGUUUUAAUGGAUCCACACAGCCAGUGUUAGUACCCGUGGCACGGUACUGACACCCUUCGAUCUGGGGUUAUAGGUUGGACCCUGAUUAACUCAUAUUAGGGCAUGUCAGUUAGAUAAUACCUCCUUCAGUCUCAGUAUAGUAUUUAGUGUAUAUUUAGUUUAGGUUUUCUUGGAUAAGUGUAUAGACUUUCAGAUAUUUAGUUUUAUAGCUUUCAGUCUUUUAGAUUUUGGAUUAUCCCAGUAACAUAAUAGAUAUAUGUUUAGUUUUGCAUUCUCAGAUAUUAUAGCUUUCAUACAUUCAUGUUCAGUUAUCUCAUGCUAUUCAAUUAGUCCUUAUAUCAUAUGUACAGUACACCAUGUAUAUAAUCUCAUCUUCAUCUUACAUAUCAAUACAUUUAAAGUACUGACCGUAUACUAUUCUUUAUGCUAUGAUGUCUUAUAUCAUAGGUUUGGAUGAUUAUUUCCCAAUCGCAGUUAGACAGCUAAGCGUAAUCCAAUAGCCAAAGUGGUGAGUCCUCAUCCAUCGAGGAUAUGUUAUGAUUAUUCAAUUAUUUUAGUAUUCUAUGUUGUUCAUUCAGUUAGAGUUAGCUGGGGGUCUGUCCAUCAACUCUUCAGUCAGUUUGGAGGCUUUUAGAUAUUCAGAUAGUCAGUUAGACAGUCAUCAGUUACAUUUAGUUUCUAUCAGAUAUUUCAAACUUAUGAUUGAUUUGUUAUUACAAUAUUUAGAUUACGUUCCCUUUUCUGUUUAUCUUCCGCACAUGUGUUAUAUUUAUAUUUUAUUUAGUGCUUAAACCAGGUACCAACUCAUGGGUUAGCUUGUAGUCAUUUGAGACUAUAAGCACUGUUUUCAUGACUAAGGCAUAACCUUGUGUUAUGACAAAACUUAGUAUAAGAGACCAGAGUUUUAAAGUAUCGUAGGGAGCUUCAUUCAAAAAAUUUCUCAAAAAAUCCAUCUCCCUCCUCAAGAACAAACUCAAACUAUUCUCAAGUAAUCAACGAAUUCAAGCUUCCAAUCUCAAGAAAUUCCUAAGAAUCUUCAUGAAUUUGACUAGUGAGGUAUGUAUGAUGUUCAUCCAUGGGUUCCUUUCACCCAUGGGGUCCAAGAACCCCUUUUUAAUCUUAAAUUAUAAGUUUUACAUGUUUCAAGUUGAAUUAUUUCCAUGAAUCUGAUGUUAAUUCAAUUGCAAGUUAUGUUUGUAAGUAUUUUUAAUGGAAAGAGCCAUUAUAUGUUUUGAAUGUGUAAUCAUUACAUUAAAUUCAUAAGCUAUGAUUUUUGUCAUGUAAUUAUGUUAUUCUCACAUGCUUUACCCAUUUCCAUGCUUAAGUUUAUGAUUCUCAUAUGUGUGAUGAAAUUCUAAAGUGUUGAAUUUUGAACAAUGAUCCCCUACUAUGGUUUAAAGCUUUUAUAUAGCAUUAUUGAUAAUUCCAUUUAGUGCUGGUGGGUUAUGAACACCUGAUACCUAUGUGAUUUACAUAAAUUUAGUUUUUAAGUAUUCAGACAGUUAAUCCAUAAAUUUUAUCAGUAUUCUCACAAUUUCAUAUUCCUGAUGAGCAGUAUCAGUUAUGUAAUAAUAUUUAGUCAAGCUUAUUCCAGUCUAGUCUCAGUGUCAGUUUAGUUGGGAGUAGGAUUUAGCACCGAGCAAACCCAGGGAUAAGGGCUCACCUACUAGUAUAGGGUGUGACCCUUAGUAACAAUCCCUGAGUUAUAUAACUAUGUAGCCAGCGUAGGUUUGAGAUAUCCACCUGCCAAUUUAUGGUUGACACAUAUCUCAUGAGAGCACCUAAAAGUAUAGGGUGAAUCCAUAGUUCUUUGAGACACCAGUUUUAAUGGAUCCACACAGCCAGUGUUAGUACCCGUGGCACGGUACUGACACCCUUCGAUCUGGGGUUAUAGGUUGGACCCUGAUUAACUCAUAUUAGGGCAUGUCAGUUAGAUAAUACCUCCUUCAGUCUCAGUAUAGUAUUUAGUGUAUAUUUAGUUUAGGUUUUCUUGGAUAAGUGUAUAGACUUUCAGAUAUUUAGUUUUAUAGCUUUCAGUCUUUUAGAUUUUGGAUUAUCCCAGUAACAUAAUAGAUAUAUGUUUAGUUUUGCAUUCUCAGAUAUUAUAGCUUUCAUACAUUCAUGUUCAGUUAUCUCAUGCUAUUCAAUUAGUCCUUAUAUCAUAUGUACAGUACACCAUGUAUAUAAUCUCAUCUUCAUCUUACAUAUCAAUACAUUUAAAGUACUGACCGUAUACUAUUCUUUAUGCUAUGAUGUCUUAUAUCAUAGGUUUGGAUGAUUAUUUCCCAAUCGCAGUUAGACAGCUAAGCGUAAUCCAAUAGCCAAAGUGGUGAGUCCUCAUCCAUCGAGGAUAUGUUAUGAUUAUUCAAUUAUUUUAGUAUUCUAUGUUGUUCAUUCAGUUAGAGUUAGCUGGGGGUCUGUCCAUCAACUCUUCAGUCAGUUUGGAGGCUUUUAGAUAUUCAGAUAGUCAGUUAGACAGUCAUCAGUUACAUUUAGUUUCUAUCAGAUAUUUCAAACUUAUGAUUGAUUUGUUAUUACAAUAUUUAGAUUACGUUCCCUUUUCUGUUUAUCUUCCGCACAUGUGUUAUAUUUAUAUUUUAUUUAGUACUCAUAGAAGGUACCAGUCAUGGGUUAGCUUGUGGUCACAUGUGAUUGUAAGCAUUGUUGUUACAACUAGGGGGUAGCCUCGGGCUGUGAAAAAACUUGAUAUCAGAGCGCAGAGUUUUAAAGUGACUAGGGAGUCUAAAAUUUGCAUUAAGUAGAGUCUUGUAAAUGAGUGUAAACUGCGCCAAGAUUAUGGACAAGAGGCUACAAGACAUUUUAAGAAAAUUUUCCCUUCUUUCAGUGUUCAUGUCAUGAGCUCUAGUUAAACUUUCUAUAUAAUUCAUCCUUCAUUCUAUUUUUAGACAAUGCCUCCCAAAAGAAAUAACGAAAGAAGGAACAGGAAUCAACCCGUACCACUAUCUGUUCAGGAAGAUCCCCUGAAUGAGCAUAUCUCUUACGCUGAAUUCAGAGCUAUUUUCACUACCUUAGCUUAUUCAGUAGCUGCUCAAAAUAAUCAGCAGGAUGUUGCACCAACUAAUCCAGUGGCAAAUACGACUGCGACCAGGAUUUGAGACUUUACCCUAAUGAAUCCUCCUUUUAUUUUUGGAUCCAAGUUUGAAGAGGAUCCGUAGGAGUUUAUUGAUAUGGUUCAAAAAGUGACAGAUAUAAUAGUCAUCACUUUGAGUGAGAGUGUAGAAUUGGCUGUAUAUUAGUUGCAGGAUAUAGCUCACACCUGGUAUAAGCAGUGAAAGAAAAAUAGGGGUGCUGAGGCAGGGCCUGUAGAGUGGGAGGAGUUUUGCCAUAAAUUUUUUAGAUAGGUUCUUCCCAUUAGAGUUGUGAAAAGCUAAAGUACAGGAGUUCAUCAAUUUGAAUCAAGGUAAUAUGAGUGUGAAAGAAUACUCACUUAAGUUUACCCAGUUAGCGAGGUAUGCUCCUUCGAUGGUAGUUAAUAAUAGGUCUAGAAUGAGUAAGUUUGUUUUUGGUGUAGAUGAUAGUGUGGUUAAGGAGUGUAGUACGACUAUGUUGAUUAAGUAUAUGGACCUAUCUGGGCUUAUGGUUUAUGCAAAAGAGAUUGAGGAAGAGAAGCAUAGAGAGAAAGAAAGAGAAAAUAAGAUGGCAAAGACAGGUAGUUUCAAUUUUUCUCAGCCAAGGUUAGAAGGCGGUAACUAUUGUCAGUUCCCUCCAAAACUUUUACCCCUAGCUCCAUCUUAAACUAGUGCACCAGUGCCAAAGUUUAGGAAUGACAAUCGGGAUAGAGCACCAGGCUCUAAGUCGUAGGGUAGCGUAAACAGUGGUCGUACUAAUACGCUCUACCAGAAGUAUGGUAAGAAUCAUCAGUGGGUAUAUAGAGUCGAUAGUGAUGUAUUUUUUAGAUAUGGCAAGCUAGACCACAGGUUCCAAAAUUGCCCGCAGGCUGGGCAACAGGGUCAGUCAAAUCAUCCGUUAGCUUCAGCAGGUCGCCCGACUCAACAUAGCGCCACUUCCAGUGCAACCAGUGGACAGCAGAAGAAUAGGUUGUAUACACUCCAGUCUUGACAGGAUCAGUAAAGUUCUCUUGAUAUAGUUAUGGGUACGUUACAAGUUUUUCAUCUUUAUGUUUAUGCUUUAUUAGACCCCAAGGCUUCACUUUCUUUUGUGACUCCUUAUAAAAUUGUCAACUUUGGCGUCAGUCCUGAAAUAUUAACAGAACCCUUCUCGGUGUCUACUCUAGUAGGUAGGGGUGUACAAAAACCGAACUGACCGAUAAACCAAACUGACAAAAAUUUUAUUAGUUUAUUGUUAUUGGGUUAAUGGUUUGUUAAUGGUUUUAUAAAAAGAAAAUUAUUGGGUUACUGGUUUGGUUUGAUUUUUUAUUAUUAGGUUAUUGGGUAAACCAAUAACCCAAUAAUAAUAUAUAUGUGUGUGUGUGUGCAUGACUUAUUAUAUAUUUCUCUUUAAUUUCAACCAAUUAAUAAACCUAUUAUUUCUAUUAUACAAACUCUUAAUUUCUCCUAACAAUAUUUAGUUCAAACUUGAAGAUUCUUGAAAUUAAAACACAUUAUGUAGGAUUUAUUUUUGCAAAUAAGAUUCAAUUUUUUUUCAUAUUAGUUACUACUAUUUCUAUUUUAUGAGUAUUUUCUUAUCAGUUAAACCAAAAACUGAACCGUUAAGGACUAAAAAUUGAUAAACCAAAAAUCAAUAAAAAAUAUCUUAUUGGUUUGGUUAUUGGUUUAGCAUAUUUAAAUACAAAAAGUUGAUAAAUCAAAAUGAUAAUAUAUAAAACCAAACCGAUCGAUGCACACCCCUACUAGUAAGUGUCUCUAUUAUAGCCACACAGGUAUACAGGAAAUAUCUAAUCAUAGUAUCCCAGAAAGUCACCUCAAUUUCCCUAGUAGAGUUAGAGAUGAAUAAUUUUGAUGUCAUUCUAGGCAUAUAUUUGCUCCACUUAUGUUAUGCCUCAGUUGAUUGUAGAAAUAGAGUCGUUCAGUUUCAGUUUCUCAAUGAACCUAUCAUUGAAUAGAGGGGUAGUAUUCAGUGUUUAACGGUCAGUUUGUUUCAUACCUUAGAGUAAGAAAUAUGAUAUCCAAGGGGUGUAUUUACCAUCUUGUUCGAGUCAAAGACUUCAGUUAUAAGACUCCAUGUCUCGAGUCAAUUUCAGUAGUAAGGAAAUUUCCAGAUGUGUUCCCUGAAGACUUUUUGGGAGUUCCUUCUGAAAGGGAAAUUAACUUUGGAAUAGAUAUCCUUCCAGAUACCCAGCCUAUAUAUAUUCCACCCUAUCGAAUGGCUCCAUAUGAGCUUAAGGAGUUGAAAGAAUAGUUGAAAGAUCUCUUUGAUAAGGGAUUCAUCAGGCCCAGUAUUCCUCCAUGGGGCGCUCCAGUCUUGUUCGCGCGUAAGAAAGAAGGUUCUCUUAGAAUGUGCAUUGAUUACCAUCAGUUGAAUAAGGUCACCAUCAAUAAUAAGUAUUUUCUCCCCAUAAUUAAUGACUUGUUCGACCAACUUUAGGGUGCCAGUCAUUUCUCUAAGAUAGACCUCAGAUCUAGCUAUCAUCAAUUUAGAGUCAGAGAAUGUGACAUUCCAUAGACAUCCUUCAGAACUCGGUAUGGUCACUUUGAAUUCCUCAUUAUGUAUUUGGGACUAAUAAAUUCCCCGACAACUUUUAUGGACCUAUGAACAUGGUUUUCAAUCAGUACUUGGACAUUUUUAUCAUAGUCUUCAUUGAUGACAUCCUUAUCUAUUCCUAUAGUAAAAAUGAUCAUGCAAACCAUCUAAGAAUUGUGUCGCAGGCCCUUAGAGCUUAUCAGUUAUUUGCCAAAUUCAGUAAGUAUGAGUUUUGGCUAAGAUCAGUAGCUUUCCUUGGCCAUAUUAUUUUCGGUGAUGGCAUUAGAGUUGACCCUCAAAAGAUCAAAGUAGUGAGAAAUUGGCCCAGACCCAUCUCUCCAUCAGAUAUCGAGAGUUUCUUGGGUUUGGAUGGCUAUUACAGGUGGUUUGUUGAAGGGUUUUCUUCUAUUGCAUCCCCCAUGUCUCAACUGACUUAGAAAAUAGUCAAGUUUUAGUGGUUAGAUUUUUGUGAGAAGAUUUUUCAGGAGUUUCGCUUAAUCUUGACCUUAUCAAAUGCUUUAGAUGGAUUUGUAGUUUACUUUGAUGCUUCCAUAUUUGGUAUUGUUUAUGUAUUGAUACAAAGAUAUAAUGUCAUAGCCUAUGCCUCUGGAUAGCAUAAGCCCCAUGAAAAGAAUUAUCCUACCCAUGAUCUUGAGUUGGCAAUUGUUGCAUUUGGUUUGAAGAUAUGAAGGCAUUACCUUUAUGGGGUUUAUAUGGAUGUGUUCACUAACCAUAAAAGUUUACAAUAUGUGUUCUCGUAGAAAUAUUUGAAUCUUCAUCAGAUAAGGUGGAUUAAGUUGUUAAAAUAUUAUAAUAUGGGUGUUGUAUCAUCCGAGCAAGGCCAAUGUAGUGGCAGAUGCUCUUAGUAGAUUGUAUAUGGAUAGUGUUGUCUAUGUUGAGGAGGAUAAGAAGAAGUUAGUCAGGGAGAUUUAUCAGUUGGCUAGAUUAGGCGUUCGAUUGGUUAAUUCGGCUGAGGGUAGUAUAUGGGUUCAAAAUGGUUUGGAAUCUUCAUUGGUUGCCGAAGUGAAGGAAAAUCAAGAUAGGGAUCCUAGUUUGGUUAAGUUGAAGAAAUAAGUUAGAGAUCAGAAGAUAAAGGUUUUCUCCUAAGGGGGAGAUGGUGUAUUGCACUGUGAGGGUAGGAUGUGUGUUCUAUGUGCUUAUGAUCUGAGAUAGCGAAUCUUAGUAGAAGCUCAUGGUGCACGGUAUUCCAUUCACCCAGGAGCCACUAAGAUGUAUCACGAUUUGCAGGAAGUCUAUUGGUGAAAUGGUGUGAAGAUAGAUAUUGUAGAGUUUCCAGCUAAGUGUUUAAUUUAUCAGUAGGUUAAAGUUAAGCACCAGUGGCCUAGUGGUAUAUUGCAGAAGUUCAGCAUCCCCACUUGGAAGUGGGAAUUGGUGAACAUGGAUUUUGUGAUAAUUUUUCCUCGUACGUGUCGUCAGCAUAAUUCUAUAUGGGUCAUUGUAGACAGAAUAACUAAAUCAACGAAUUUCUUGCCAGUUCAUACUUCCUAUACAACAGAGGAUUUGGCCAGGAUCUAUCUCAGGGAGUUGGUUAGGUUGUAUAGGAUUCCAUUGACUAUCAUAUCAGAUAGAGGUGGUACUCAGUUUACCUAUCACUUUUGGAAGGCUUUUUAAAAAGUCCUUGGUACCCAAGUUUAUCUCAGUAAAAGUUUUUAUCCUCAGACAAAUGGUCAGGAAGAGAGGACCAUUCAGACUUUAGAGGACAUGUUGGGGGUAUGUGUUAUUGACUUUAAAGGUAGUUGGGAUGACCACUUGCCUUUGAUUGAGUUUUCCUAUAAAAGUAGCUAUCACUCCAAUAUUCAGAUAGCUCUAUUUGAGGCUUUUUUUGGCAGGAGAUGUAGGUCUCAUAUUGGUUGGUUUGAAGCAGGUGAAACUACUUUUAUAGGGCCAAAUUCAGUGUUUAAUGUGAUGGAAAAAGUUUAGUUGAUUAAGGAGAGGCUGAACUAGCCCAAAGCCGGCAGAAAUCUUAUGCAGACAUGAGAAGAAGAGAUCUUGAGUUUGAGGUUCGCAAUUUGGUAUAUUUGAAAAUCUCACCCAUAAAGGGAGUGAAGUGAUUUGGAAAGAAGGGGAAACUCAUUCCUCGAUAUGUUGUCCCAUAUAGGAUCUUAAGUCAUUUUGGGAAGGUAUCCUAUGAGCUAGAGUUGCCUGUAGUUUUAGCAUCAGUACAUCCCAUGUUUCAUGUUUCGUUGUUGAAGAAAUAUAUCGGUGAUUUAAUUGUAGUUGUUCCUUUGGAGUCUGUAAAUGUUAAGGAUAGCCUUUCUUAUGAAGAGGUCCCAGUUGAGAUCCUUGAUUGUCAGAUUCGUAGACUAAGGAACAAAGAAGUUCCUUUGGUCAAAGUUAUUUGGCGGAAUCAGUCCUUUGAGAGACCCACUUGGGAAGAAGAAGCAGAUAUGCGAACUAAGUACCCUCAUAUUUUCGCCGUAAACUCAAAUUCAGCUAAAGGUAAUGAUUUUCCUCAUAUUGACUUUCUUUCAUUCUUAAUUUCAUCUAUGUAAUUCAUUCCAUAUCAUGGCAUACAUCCAGUUCAGUUCAAGUAUCAUUUUUCAGACUCAGUUAUGUAAUUAAGUUUCCAGUCAUGCAUAUCCAGUAUAUGAUCCCAGUUUUCUUAGUACUCUCCGCUAAACUAGUCUUAUUCGAGCACGAAUGUUUCCAAAGGGGAGAUAUCCUAAUACCCCAUAAAAGUUUUAGCUCAUUUUCACACUCAGUUCCAUGUUAAGGAGGUCCAAACUUGUAAAUUUUUCUAAGUGUUGAGGACAUAGUCAUUUCCAAGACCCCUAAAAUUCGAUGAUUUUAUUUUUGAUCUUCUCGACCUCACUACGUCGAUUUUUAAGUUGAUUCAUGAUCUGGUUUGUUCAAAGUAUGUCUCGGGUGAUUUUUAAAAUUUUCAGGAAAGUGUAAGGGCAUGUUUAGAGAAGCAAAACAAUAGCAGCGUCGGGAUGGGCCUGUGGUGCCCCCUUCAUUACACCGCACUGGAGCCCGCGGUUCCCCCUCAAUUUCACCUCAUUGGAGCCCGCGGUAUGCCCUCUAUUCCCCGUCCAUCUUUCUGUUCCUCAUUAAUUAAAAGCAAUUGGGUCAUUUUUCCUCACCCAAACUCGUCCAUAACAUGAAAUUAAGUCCUCCGGAGCAUUAUUUUCCCCUUUAUUCAAAAGAGAUCUCAAGGAAUCCAUCUCCCACCUCAAGAACAAACCCUAACCUAUUCUCAAGCAAUCAAGUAAUUCAAGUUUCCAAUCUCAAGAAAUUCCCAAGAAUCUUCACAAAUUCGACUAGUGAGGUAUGUGUGAUGUUCAUCCAUGGGUUCCUUUCACCCUUGGAGUCCAAGAACCCUUUUUGAUCUUAAUUUAUUAGUUUUACAUGUUUCAAGUUGAAUUAUUUCCUUGAAUCUCGUGUUAGUUCAAUUGCAAGUCAUGUUUGUAAGUAUUUUCAAUAGAUAAAUCCAUUACAUAUUUUGAAUGUGUAAUCUUCAUGUUAAAUCCCUAAGCAAUGAUUUUAGUCAUGUAAUUAUGUUAUUCUUACAUACUUUACCCAUUCUCAUAAGUUCAUGACUCUCAUGUGUUUGAUGAAAUGCCAAAGUGUUGGAUUUUGAACAAUGAUCCCCUACUAUGGUUUAAAGCUUUUAUACGGCAUUAUUUAUAAUUUCAUUCAGUGCUGGUGGGUUAUGAACACCCGAUACCUAUCUGUUUUACAUAAAUUUAGCUUUUUUAAGUAUUCAGAUAGUUAAUCCAUGAAUCUUAUCAGUAUACUCAGAUAUUCAUCUUCAUGAUGAGCACUAUCAAUUAUUUAAUAACAUUCAGUUAAGCUUAGUCCAGUCUAGUCUCAGUGUCAGUUUAGUUGGGGGUAGGAUUUAGGACCGAGCAAACCCAAGGAUGAGGUCUCACCUACCACUAUAAGGUGUGACCUUUAGUAGUAAUCCCUGAGUUAUAGAACUAUAUAGACAACAUAGGUUUGAGAUAUUCACCUGCCAUUUUAGGGUUGACACAUAUCUUAUAAGAGCACCUGGUAGUAUAGGGUGACUCCAUAGUCCUUCGGGACACCAGUUUUAGUUGAUCCACAUAGCCAGUAUUCAUACCCAUGGUACGGUACUGACGCCAUUCCAACUGGGGUUACAGGUUAGACCUCGAUUAUCUCAUAUUGAGGGGUGUCGGUUAGAUGAUACCUCCCACAGUCUUAGUAUAAGACCUCACAAAAAUCUUAGUCAUUUCAGUCCUAAAUAGCAUGCCAAAAGAAGUCCCAGACAUAGAAAAAUUCGGCUAAGUGUUUGAACUUAGUCAUUGCCUUCAAACUUUGGUAAAUUUUAAUUUGCCCUUCUAAGACUUAAAACACCAGUUUCCAAGUUGAUUCAUGAUCAGGGUCACUUGUAGGUCAUCUCGGGUGAGCUUUAGAUUUUUCAGACUAACGUAAGGGGUUUGGAUAUCCAAAAUAGCAAGGGGUGGUGAUAGGGAUGCGCCGCGAGGGCCAAUUGACCUAGGCUUAGGGUCGUGCCGCGAUGGCUGCUUGACCCAAGCAGGGGUUGCACUGUGAUAACCGUUUGACCCAAGCAGGGGUCGCAGUGCAAUAGGGACCCCAUUCAACAUUUUUUUAUUCGUGUUUAUGGGGGUAAAUGGGUUAUUUUCCCCUUACAAUAUUCAGCCAUAACACGAAAUCAAUCCUCCUAAAGGGCAAACUCACUCAUUAUUUCAUAAAAUUCUUUCAAUAGCAAGCCCUAGGUUCAUUUAAUUCAAGUCUAAGCCUCAAGAGUUCACCAUCAAUUCUCACGAAUUCAGAAAACAAGGUAUGUUAGGUGUUCAUCCUUGGGUUCCCUUCCACCCUUGGAGUUUAAGAACUAUUUUCAAAACUUGAAUUAUGAUUCCCAUGAGAUCUUUUAUGAGUUUCCAUGAAAUUAUGUUAACAUGUGUGUUGAAUUAAGAAUCUCUCAUGAUAAAACCCUUGAAUUUGCAAAAUUAUAUGUUGAAGUCAUGAUGCCCUAUAUAUUAUUCUUCAUAUAUCAUAAUCAUGCUCUACAAGUGUUUGAUAGAAUGUCCAUAUGAAUUGAAUAGUGAAAUCAUGACAUGUUAGCACGUGUUCCCAAUCAUGUAGUAGUUCACGACCUCCAAAUGUUUGACUAAAUGCCUCAAUGAAUGAAUUGUGAACAAUUGACUAUUGGAAUGCUUUCAAUAUUUGUCAUGCUUUAUUAUUGAUGAUAUCAAGUCCUGGGGGUAUUUAUUAUCGAAAUCUAGUUGUUUACUUAGUUGCAGUAGUUAUAGAAUAGUCCUCGUAAAGUUCAAGAACAGUAGUACUCAGUCAGUAACAAAACUCAGUGAACUCAGUCCAGUUCAGUCAGUUAACACGAUCAGUGUCAGCUCAGUCAAGCCUAGUACAGUCUAGUGAUCAGUUCAGAGUCGAUUCAGUUGGGAGUAGGAUUCAGCACCGAGCGAACCUAGGGAUGGGGUCAUUCCUAUUAGCAAACGAUUUGUCCCUUAGUAGCAAUCCCUGUGUUACAAAACUACGUAUCUAAUAUGGGGUAAGUCAUCCUUCUGCCAGGUUAGGGUUGACGCAAUCAUAUAUAUGUAUUUCAUGAGUCUUUCUGCCAUAUUAGGGUUGACCCAGCUUUGUUAGUAUCCCUUGGCAAGGUGCUAACACCCUUCCAACUGGAGUCAAAGGUUAGACCCCAAAUCAUUCUAUAUCAGGGUAUGUCAGUUAGAUGAACAUCUCACAAUUACAGUUUCAGUCUCAAUAUUCAGUAAAGAACUCAGACAGUUCUAUAGAAUAAUGGUUAUCAGUUAUCAGUUAUCAAUUAUCAGUUACAUAGCCAUCAGAAUUCAGUACUUAAUUUUAAUAAAAUCCUAAAUACAUAAUGUAUAAUUACAUGCAUUGUAUCGCACAUUCAACAUGCUCAACAGUUACGAUUUUACAUGUAUAUUCAUUUAGUUACUUUAUGAUAUUUAUUCAGUCAGUUAUCAUCUCAUGCAUAUAAACCUAUGUAUUAUUAGCCUACCUCACUUAGAAUAACAGUACAUUUCACGUACUGAUGCAUACUUUCUUUUGUGCUAUGAUGUCUCAUAUCAUAGGUUUCGAUGCUCAAGUUCCUGAUCGUACUUAGCAGCUUGGGCUAUCAGCCUUAGAUAUAGGGGUGAGUCCUCAUAUUUCGAGGACAGAUUUUAUUUAUUUUAGUAUUUAAGAUCCUCAGUAGUCAGUUCAGUUGAGGUUAGUUGGGGACUUAUCCCAUCAACUCCAUAUUCAGAUAGUUAGAGGCUUUCAGACUAGCAUAGUGAGUAUUCAAUUUUUUAGAUAUUGUUAUCAGUUUUAUCCUCAGUAUUCAGUAUUUUUUUCAGCUUAUGAACCUUAUGUCAAUCUCAAAUUACUUCUAUAUAUAUUUAGUAUUAUUAUUUAGUGCUCACAGAAGGUACUCGUCAUGGGUUAGCUUGUGAUCCUUCAGGGUUGUAAGCACCGUAUGGCAUUCGGGGUGUAGACUUGGGGCAUUACAAACUUGGUAUCAGAGCCAAAGGUUAUAAAGAGUCCUAGGGAGUCUGAAAUCCACGUCAAGUAGAGUCUUGUGCAUGGGUGUGUAGCGCGCCACACUUAUGCACAAAAGGCUAUGAGGUGUUUAGGAAAAAAGUUCCCUUUUUUCAGUGUUCAUAUCGUGCGAGUGAGCAUGAUCUCAAGUUAAACUCUCUAUCUAAUUCAAUUUUCCCUUUUGUUUACAGAACAUGCCUACAAAAAAGACCAACAGAAGAAGGAUUGGAAAUCAGCCAGCACAUCCGCUUGUUUAGGAAGAUCCCCUGAAUAAGCACUUCUUUUACGCAAAAUUCAGGGCAGCUUUCACCACUCUAGCUCAUUUUGUAGUAGCCUAGAAUAUACGUCCAGCUGCUGUUCAGGCCAACCCAGUGGUCAAUACUUCUAUAGCUAGAAUUCAAAACUUCACCCGAAUGGACCCUCCAUCAUUUAUAGGGUCUAAAUCUGAAGAGAACCCACAAAAAUUCCUUGACAUGGUGCAAAAGGUAACAGAUAUUAUGGGGGUAACCACAAGUGAGAAUGCUGAGUUAACCUCUUACCAGUUACAAGAUAUGGCCCACACAUGGUUUAAGAAGUUGAAGCUAGAUAGGGGCACAAAUGUAGGGACCAUAGAAUGGGAGAAUUUUGCUACUGCCUUUCUAGAUAGGUUUUCCCAUUAGAGUUGAGGGAAGCUAAGGUUCUAUAGUUCAUCAACCUAAAGCAGGGCAACAUGACAGUGAAGGAGUAUUUCCUCAAGUUUACUCAAUCGGCCAGGUAUGCUUCUCAUUUAGUUAUGGAUAGCAGGUUUAAGAUGAGUAAGUUCAUAUCGGGUAUAUCUAACAGUGUGGUUAAGGAGUGUAGGACCACAAUACUGAUCAAGAAGAUAGAGUUUUCCAGGUUGAUGGUCCAUACUCAACAGAUUGAGGAUAAAAAACUAAGGAGAAAGAGAGAGAAAACAAGAAAGCUAGAAUAGGUAGCUUCAAAUUCACUCAACCUAAGUCAGAGGGUGGUAAUCAUCCUCAGUUCCACCCAAAAUCUUCAGUCCCAGCUCAGUCCUCAGCCAAUGCUCCAGUGCCAAAAUUCAGGGAUGGUAAUAAGGAUAGGGCGCCAGGCUCUAGAUCUCAGGGUAGUGUUAGCAGUGCCCAAGCAAAUCUUCUCUGUCAAAAGUAUGGUAGAAACCAUCAGGGUAGCUGCAGGGCUAGCAGUGAUAUAGGUUUCAGGUGUGGCAAGCCAGGUCAUAAAAUCAGAGAGUGUCCUCAAGUAAGUUUGCAGAGUUAGGAUAAUCAUCCCCCAGCUCAGUCUGGUUGCCUAUUUCAGUAGGGUGCCACUUCUAGUGCCACCAGUGGGAAACGCCCAAAUAGACACUAUACACUCCAGUCCCAACAAAAUUAGGAAAGUUCUCCAGAUGUGGUCACUGGUACAUUACAAGUUUACCAUUUAUAUGUUUAUGCUUUGCUAGAUCCAGGAUCUUCUUUGUCCUUUGUAACUCCUUAUAUAGCUGUUGACAUUGGAGUCAGUUCAAAAAUCAUAGCAGAGCCUCUCUUAGUAUCUACCCUAGUGGAUAAAUCUAUCAUAGCCCAAUGGGUAUACAGAAACUGUCCAAUUAUGGUAUCUCAGAAAGUUACUUCAUCAGACUUAAUAGAGUUAGAGAUGAUGGAUUUUAACGUCAUUCUCAGGAUAGAUUGUCUUCAUUCAUGCUAUGCUUCAGUUGAUUGUAGAAACAGAGUUGUCCAUUUUCAAUUCCUGAAUGAACCUGUCCUAGAAUAGAGGGAAAGUACUUAGUGCUUAAGGGUUAACUUAUCUCAUCCCUUAGAGCAAGAAAAAUAAUAUCCAAGGGAUGUGUCUAUCAUCUUGUUUGAGUUAAAGAUUCUAGUUCUGAGACUCUUAAUCUUGAGUCAGUUCCUGUCAUAAGUGAAUUCUCAAAUGUGUUUCCCGAAGAUCUUCCUAGAGUUUCUCCGAAAAAGGAAAUUGACUUCUGAAUAGACCUUCUUCCUAAUACUCAUCCCAUCUUUAUCCCACCAUACAGAAUGGCUCCAGCUAAACUUAAAGAGUUAAAAAAGCAGUUGAAGGAAAUCCUAGAUAAGAGAUUCAUCAGGCCCAGUAUAUCCCCUUUGGGUGCACUAGUUCUAUUUGUGUGCAAGAAAGACGAUUCUCUCAGAAUGUGUAUUGACUACCAUCAGUUGAACAAAGUCACCAUCAAGAAUAAAUACCCACUUUCUAGAAUCGAUGACUUGUUUAACAAACUUCAGGGUGCCAAUUAUUUUUCUAAGACAAUUGGACAUGUUCAUCAUAGUCUUCAUCAAUGUCAUUCUUGUCUACUCCCAUAGUGAAAAUGAUCAUAUAGACCAUCUCAGAAUAGUAUUACAGACCCUCAGAGCCAUUAGUUGUUCGCCAAAUUUAGUAAGUGUGAAUUUUGGCUAAGGUCAGUAAUUUUUCUUUGUCAUAUAGUUUCUGGUGAUCGCAUGGAGUUGAUUCUCAAAAGACCAAAGUAGUAAGAAACUAUCCUAGACCUAUCUCUCCAUCAGAUAUCAGGAGUUUCUUGGGUUUGGCUGGUUAUUACCAAUAGGUUGUUGAAGAAUUCUCAUCUAUUGCAUCCCCCAUAUCUAAAUUGACUCAGAAGAAAGCCAAGUUUCAAUAGUCAGAUUCUCGUGAGAAGAGUUUUCAGGAGUUGAAGACUCGACUCACCAUAACCCCAGUUUUGACUUUGCCCGAUGGUUCAAAUAAAUUUAUGGUUUAUUGUGAUACUUCUAAAGUUGGUUUGGGGUGUGUUUUGAUGCAGAAGGGUAAGGUUGUAGCCUAUGCCUCUAGACAGCUUAAGCCCCAUGAAAAUAAUUAUCCCACCCAUGAUUUAGAGUUAGCAGCUGUUGUGUUUUCCUUAAAGAUUUAGAGGCGUUAUUUUAUGGGAUGCAUGUUGAUAUGUUCACAGACCAUAAAAGCCUAUAGUAUGUAUUUUCUCAGAAAGACCUGAACUUGCAUUAGAGAAGGUGGUUAGAGCUAUUGAAAGACUAUGACAUGAGUAUUCUGUAUCAUCUGGAGAAGGCCAAUGUAGUGGCAGAUGCCCUCAAUAGAUUAUCCAUGAGUAGUGUUGCUCACGUUGUGGAUGGUAAGAAGAAGUUAGUUCAGGAAGUUCAUCAACUGGCCAGGCUAGGUUUCCGUUCAGUUGAUUCGACUGAGGUAGUAUUUGGGUGCAAAAUAGUUCAGAAUCAUCCUUGGUUUUUAAAGUAAAAGUAAAGCAGGACAGGGAUCCCAGUUUAGUUAAGUUGAAAGAGUCAGUUCGAGACCAAAAAGUAGAGGUUUUCUCCCAAGGAGAAGAUGGUAUGUUGUGCUGUCAGGGUAGAUUAUGUAUUUCAUGUUUGGAUGGAGUAAGAUAGAGGAUCUUAGCAAAAGUGAAUGAUGCAUGCUACUUGAUUCAUCCAGGGGCCACUAAGAUGUACCACGACUUGUGGGAAGUCUAUUGGUGCAGUAGGAUGAAAAGAGACAUUGUAGAGUUUGUAGCUAAGUGCUCCACGUAUUAGCAUGUUAAGAUUGAACAUCAAAAGCCUAGUGGGUCUAUGCAGGAGUUCAAUAUUCCCACUUGGAAGUGCGAAAAAGUGAACAUGGACUUUAUGAUAGGUUUGCCUUGUACUCAUCAGCAGCAUGAUUCAAUUUAGGUCAUUAUGGACAUGAUGUCCAAAUCAGCUCAUUUUUUGCCAGUUCAUACCUCUUAUUCAGCCAAGGAUUAUGCCAAACUCUAGUUAGAGAGUUGGUCAGAUUGCAUGGUGUUCCGUUGUCCAUCAUUUUAGAUAGAGGUACGUAGUUUACCUCUUACCUUUGGAAAGACUUCUAAAAGGGUCUUGGUACCCAAGUUCACCUCAGUACAACCAUUCAGACUUUAGAAAAUAAUUUGAGAACGUGUGUUAUUGACUUUAAGGGUAGUUGGGAUAAUCACUUACCUUUUAUUGAGUUUGGGUAUAAUAACAAUUACCAUUCCAGUAUACAAUUGGCUCCAUUUGAGGAUCUUUAUGGGAGAAGAUGUAGAUCUCUCAUUGGUUGGUUUGAGGUAGGUGAGGCCGCGGUAGUAGGACCUGACUUAGUGUUUGAUGCGUUAGAGAAAGUACAGUUAAUCAGAGAGAGGCUUAAGGCAGCCCAGAGCUGACAGAAACCUUAUGUAGAUAUAAGAUAGAAAAACAUGGAAUUUGAGAUUGUGAUUUUGUGUAUUUGAAAAUCUCUCCCAUAAAGGGAGUGAAGAGAUUUGGAAAGAAAGGGAAGAUUAGUCCCCUAUAUGUUGGUCCUUACAGAAUUCUGAGUCAUUUUGGUAAGGUAGCUUAUGAGCUUGAGUUACUUGCAGACCUAGCUUCAGUGCAUCUAGUGUUUUAUGUCUCCGUGUUAAAGAAGUGCGUAGGUGACCCAGCAGUUGUAAUCCUUAUAAAGAAUGUAGAUGUUCAGAACAGUCUUUCUUAUGAGGAAGUCCCAGUUGAAAUCCUUGAUUGUUAGAUUCACAGACUAAGGAAUAAAAAAGUUCCUUUGAUCAAAGUUCUUUAGCGGAAUCAAUCCGCUGAGGGAGCUACUUGGGAAGAAGAAGUAGAUAUACAAACCAAGUACUCUCACCUCUUCUCCACAAACUUAGACUCAACCUAAGGUAAAUUUUUUCCUUAGAUUUACUCUAUUCCUUACUCAGUUACAGUUGUAUAAUCUUCGCAUAUCAUUCAUGUAUUCAUGAAAUAGUUCAGUCAUGUAUCAUAUCUCUAUAAUUCGGUCAUGCUUCAGUUAUGCAUGUCAGUGUGAAUAAAGCAUAGUUCCUCAAUUUUGUCAGUCUCAUUUGAGGACGAAUGUUCCCAAGGGGGAGAUAUUGUAAGACCCCGCAAAAAAUCCUGGUCAUUUCAGUCCUAAAUAGCAUGCCAAAAGAGGUUCCAAACUUUGAAAAAUUCAGCUAAGUGUUAGAACUUAGUCAUUUCUAGAUCCUUCAAACUUUGGAGAAUUUUAAUUUGACCUUUUCGGCCUUAAAACACCAAUUUUCAAGUUGAUUCAUGAUCAGGGUCACUCGUAGGUCAUCUCGGGUGAGUUUCAGAUUUUUCAGACUAGCGUAAGGGUGAGUUUGGAUGUCCAAAAUAGUAAGGGGUCGUGAUAGGGCCGUUUCGUGAGGGCCAGUUAACCUAGCCUUAGGGUCGCACCGCGAUGGCUACUUGACCCAAGCAAGGGUCACACCGCGAUGGCCGCUUGACCUAAGCAGGGGUCGCGAUGCGAUGGGGACCCCAUUCAGUAUUUUUUUAAUCCUUUUUUGUGGGGGUAAAUGGGUCAUUUUUCCCUUACAUUAUUCAACCAUAACACGAAAUCAAGCCUCCUAAAGGGCAAACUCACUCAUUAUUUCACAAAAUUCUCUCAAGAGCAAGCCCUAGGUUCAUUAAAUUCAAGUCUAAGCCUCAAGAGUUCGCCAUCAAUUCUCACGAAUUCAGAAACCAAGGCAUGUUAGGUGUUCAUCCUUGGAUUUCCCUCCACCCUUGGAGUUUAAGAACUCUUUUCAAAACUUGAAUUAUGAUUCACAUGCUAUAAAUUGAAUUGUGCUCAUAUUUGUGUUGUUGUAUGGGUUUCAAAUUAAGAUCUUUUAUGAGUUUCCAUGAAAUUAUGUUAGCAUAUGUGUUGAAUUAUGAAUCUCUCAUGAUAAAACCCUUGAAUUUACAAGAUUACAUGUUGAAGUCAUAAUGCCCUAUAUAUUAUUCUUCAUGUAUCACAAUCAUGCUCCCAAGGUGUUUGAUAGAAUGUUCAUGUGAAUUGAAUAGUGAAAUCAUGACAUGUUAGCAUGUGUUCCCAAUCAUGUACAAGUUCAUGACCUCCAAAUGUUUGACUAAAUGCCUCAAUAAAUGAAUUAUGAACAAAUGACUAUUGCUAUGCUUUCAAGAUUUUUUUAUGCUUUAUUAUUGAUGCUAUCGAGUCCUGGGGUAUUUAUUACCCGAAAUCUAGUUGUUUACUUAGUUGCAGUAGUUAUUGAAUAGUCCCAAUAAAGGUCAAGAACAGUAGUACUCAGUCAGUAACAGAACUUAGUGAACUCAAUCCAGCUCAGUUAGUUAACACGAUCAGUGUCAGCUCAGUCAAGCCUAGAACAGUCUAGUGAUCAGUUCAGAUUUAAUUCAGUUGUGAGUAGGAUUCAUCACCGAGCGAACCCAGGGAAUGAGGCAUUAAUGCCAGCAGAGGGUUUGACCUAUAGUAGCAAUCCCUAUGUUACAGAACUACGUAGAUAGCAUGGGGUAAGUCAUUCUCCUACCAGGUUAGGGUUGACGCAAUCAUAUAUAUAUAUAUGUGUGUGUGUGUGUGUGUGUGUGUGUGUGUAUAUAUUUCAUUAGUGUUCCUGCCAUAUUAAGGUUGACCCAGCUUUGUUAGUAUUCCGUGGCAAGGUGCUAACACCCUUCCAACUGGGGUCAGAGGUUGGACCCUAAAUCAGUCUAUAUUGGGAUAUGUCGGUUAGAUGAACACUUCCACAAUUACAGUUUUAGUCUCAGUAUUCAGUAAAGAACUCAAACAGUUCUACAGAACAAUGGCUAUCAGUUAUCAGUUAUCAAUUAUCAGUUACAUGGCCAUCAAAAUUUAGUACUCAUUUUUAAUAUAAUCCUAGAUACAUGAUAUAUAAUUACAUACGCAGUAUCGUAUAUUCAGCAUGUUCAGCAGUUACAAUUUUACAUGUAUAUUCAUUCAGUUACUUCAUGAUAUUUAUUCAGUCAGUUAAUAUCUCAUCCAUAUAAACCUAUGUAUUAUCAGCCUACCUCACUUAGCAUACCAGUACAUUCCACGUACUAACGCAUACUUUUUCUUGCGCUAUGAUAUCUCAUAUCAUAGGUUCGGACACUCAGGUUCCCGACCGUACUUAGCAGCUCAGUCUAUUAGCAGAAGAUAUAGGGGUGAGUCCUUAUAUUUUGAAGACAUAGUUUAUUUAUUUUAGUAUUUUAAGCAGCUCAAUAGUCAGUUCAAUCGGGGUUAGUUGGGGAAUUAUUCCAUCAACUCUAUAUUCGGACAAUUAGAGGCUUUCAGACUAGCACAGUGAGUAUUCAAGUUUUCAGAUGUUGUUAUCAGUACUAUCCUCAGUAUUCAAUAUUUGUUUUCAGCUUAUGAACGUUAUGGCAAUCUCAGAUUACUUCCACAUAUAUUGUUCAGUAUUAUUAUUCAGUGCUCACAGCAGGUACCAGUCAUGGGUUAGCUUGUGAUCCUCCAGGGUCGUAAGCACUGUGUGGCGUCUGGAGUGCAGACUCGGGGCAUUACCCUUAGUAUAGUAUUCAGUGUAUCUUCAGUUUAGGUUUGGUUGGAUAAGUGUACAGACUUUCAGAUAUUCAGUUUUACAGCUUUCAGUCUUUCAUAUUUUAGAUUAUCUCAGUAACAUAAUAGAUAUAUACUUAGUCUUGCAUUCUCAGAUGUUAUAGCUUUCAUGCAUUUACGUUCAGUUAUCUCAUGCUAUUUAUUUAGUCCUUAUAUCAUAUGUACAGUACCCUAUGUAUAUCAACCUAUCCUCAUCUCAUAUACCUGUAUAUUCAAAGUACUGACCGCAUACUUUUCUUUGCGCUAUGAUGUCCUAUAUCACAGGUUAGGACACUCAAUUUCUUGACCACAGUUAGACAGCUCAGCCUAAUCCAGCAGCCGUAGUGAUGAGUCCUUAUCCAUCAAGGACAUGUUAUGAUUAUUUAGUUAUUUCAGUAUUUCAUAUUAUUCAGUUAGUUGGAGUUAGUUGGGGUCUGUCCCAUUAAAUCCUCAGUCAGUUUAGAGGCUUAAAGACAUUUAGAUAGUCAGUUAGACAGUCAGGUAAUUUUUAUCAGAUGUUUCAUAUUUAUGAUUGAUUCGUUAUUUCAGUAUUCAGAUUUACAUUCCCUUUUCAGUUUAUCUUCUGCACAUGUGUUAUGUUUAUAUUUUAUUCAGUGCUCAUAGCAGGUACUAGUUAUGGGUUAGCUUGUGGUCACUUGUGACCCUAAGCACCGUUGUUACGACUAGGAGGUAGCCUCGGGUCGUAACAUUUAUCCACUUUAAGCCUCAAUCAAAAUUAUUCGACCAGGCCCGGCUUUUACCUAAAUCCACUAAAGCUAAGACUUUAGGCUCCCAAAUUUUGGGGGUCCCAUUUUUUUUUUAUCAAUUAUAAGUUGUUAAUUCUAUAUUUUUUUCAUUAGAAAAUAUUAAGAACUUUUUAAUAUUUUCUUUGUUUCAUUUUAAUGUCAUUUUAGCUCAAAAUAAUAUCAAUUUAGGAAUUCAAGAUUAAGUUUGAUAAUUAUUUACUUUACUCUUAACAUUAAAAUAGAUUUAUUUUUAAUACUUUUCAGUCCUUAAAAAAAUCUAAUAAUUAGAGAUAACUUAGUAAACUAUAUCUUAUAUUUGUUAUUUUGCUUAAUGAACGUGAAAAAAAAUUAAAACAAAAGUUAAAGUGGGAUGGAGGAAGUAGAAAGAGAAGAAAUAUUUCAAUAAGUUUCAAAUGUUUAAUUGCUUGUAGAGUUCCUAUAACAAUUGUCUCAAUUGAAAGAAUUUUUUUUUAAUGAAAAUUUUGAAGAUGUUACCUAAGAUCAACAUCUCAAGAGAAAUUGAAUGAUUUAGGUAUACUAUUAAUUGAAAAGUAAUUAUUGAGAGGAAUUGAUUAUAAAAUAAUUUUAUUCAUAAUUUUACACCUAAAAAAGCUAUAGAAAUGAACUUCAAAUAAAAAUGCUAUAUAAAAAUCUUUUACUCCUCAAAAAGCUAUAGAAAAGAACUACAAAUAAAAAUGUUAUACAAAAAUCUUUUACCUAUUUUUUUAAGGCCUUAUUUUGAAGUUUUGCUUUAGGCCACCAAGUACAUUGACUACUGAGCCACCUCCGAAUUCGACUCCCAUUUUCUUCAUCAGGAAGAGUUCUUGUAAUCACUUCGCAUAUCUAUUUACUUCAAACAUCAUCAAUGACUAUCAUAUACUUUCGACCCUUAAGUGAUUGAUAUGAUUCAUCAUAGUUAAACCAUUUUUAACGCUCCAUCAACCUAUUGCAACCCUUUUACUUUAUUUUGCAUGGGACAAAUUGAGGACAAAUUAUCAAUUGUAUAGAAAAGAUGUAAAUGACUUGAAGAGACUUGAAUUUGCUUUGAUUCAAUAUCCUAUGGUACCUUUAAAUAUAUACAGACUACUAAUGUGCAGAGAGAAAGCUUAAGAAUCAAAACUUUUGUUAUAUAUGACUAACAAAGGUGAAGAAGAGGAUGGUGCAUGAGGAAAAGAAAUGGGGGAUGAUGACAUAUGGCAAGUGCAUUUUGGAUCAUGUAUUGCUUCCUUUCUGUGAAAAUCAAGUUUACUACAGAAGACACAAUAAUGCCCAAAAGAUGCUUCUUUUUUCCCCUCAUCGUCAUCUUCACUGUCAUCUGGGGUCUCAUCUUCAUAGUGUUCCACUGCCACAACCUUCCCAGGGCCAUAUCUGGUGUAAGUGAACCCCCAUGUUGGAAACAUCAAUUUAAGCAAUCUCUCCAAGUGUUUGUCACAGUAUUCCCGCCCUCGCUUGUAAAACAACAGAGGUCCAAUGGAGAUUGCUGCUCCUACUCCAUAUCCCACACCCAUAAAUAUCAACUGCCAAUCAUAAGUGUCAUCUUCAAAACUUGGCGGUGGUGUCAACUCUGAAGCAUUACUUUUGCAACUUCCAUUGAGAGGGAACCCGCAUAGGCCUCUGUUUCCUUCAAAGGAAUCUUCCGAGAAUGUUUGAAGUUGAUUACUUAGCGGGAUUUUACCAGAUAAAUUGUUGAACGAUAGGUUCAAAGAUGCUAUGAAUGUGAGAUUUGCAAGCUCUGAGGGGAUCUCCCCGGACAGGUGGUUUGAUGACAAGUCUAGUGAUUCAAGCACUUGUAGCUUCCCGAUUGAUCUUGGAAUUGGUCCUGCAAGGGCAUUGUGUGACAGGUUCAGAACAUAAAGUGAGCUAAGAUCCCCAACUGUAUCUGGUAGCACUCCUUGAAAUCUAUUUGAAGAGAAAUCAAUAGAUGUGAAGACCCUGAGAAUUUUCACAAGCUCCAGCUCCAGCCCUUUGAUGGUUAUUGUCACUGUAUCCUGAUAGUAAAAGUUACUUUGUGCAAGGAACUGAAACUGGAUGUGAUUGCGUCCUGUCUCCACGUAAUCAUCUUCAACCAUCAUUCCUCUCCAAUUUGAAAAGCAUUCCGCAUUCAACACACCGGUAAAAUCAUUGGAAGCUAUAUCUAUGAUCUGGAGAUUCUGCCAGCUAUUUCUUGUUACAUCACAUGUAAGUUUUCCAUAGAAGUGAUUGGAACGCAUGACUAGGACUCUUAGAUUGCCUGAGCUCCUCAACAUGCAUGGGAAACGAUCAAUAAGGUUGUUAUUUCCAACAUUCAGGACCUCCAAUAGCUCACAGUUGACAAGAGAUUUUGGCAGCUCCCUUUUUAAGAAAUUCCUACUGAGGUCUAAAGUUUUCAGCGCACAACCAAUUGGAAAUGAAUCUGGUAUAACACUAUUGAGAUGAUUGUUCCCUAGAUUCAGCACUCCAAGAGUUGUACUAUAUUCCAGUAGACAUGGUGGUAUUGUUCCACUCAAGGCAUUGUUAGACAAAUCAAGAACUUGAAGAUAGUUGGCCUUGCAUAUUGAUUCAGGAAUUCUUCCAGUGAGGCUAUUAUUUGCAGCUGAGAAAAAGGAAGCAAAAACAAUUGAAUCACCAAUAUCUAGUGGGAUAGAAUUGCUGAAAUUAUUGCUUGAGUAGUCCACAAAGAUGGCAGUAGAAGGUGGAAUUGGUAGGUCACCUUUUAUUCGGUUGGAAUGCAAGUCAAAGACUAUAAGAUUGCUGGAAACACUGUAAGGCUGUUCCAGGUACUCCAGCUGAUUGAAGGAAAGAUUCAGGUGAGUGAGAGCUCCCUCCCCAAUUCCCCAAAUCCAAUUCGGAAUUGCUCCCUUUAUUUUGUUGUCAGAAAGGUCUAAUUGGAUUAUCCUUGGCUGAUUUUUAAGAUCAGGAAAAUGUUGCAACCGACAAGAAGCUAGUUUCAAUACGCUCAUCUGCGGAAAAGUGAAAGAGGUUGAAUUGCUUCUACCUGUUUCAAUGGUCAAGUUAUUGUAAGAAAGCUCUAGUCUUGUAAGGCUACUGAGACUCCCAAUGAGAUCUAGUGGCACUGUCCCACUAAAGAAGUUGGAAGAAAGUGAGAGGACCUUAAGCCUCUCAACCUCAAAGAUGGACUUGGGAAUCGAUCCAUUCAGAAGGUUGUUGCUCAAAUCAAUUGUAUCCAGCAUAGAGGAGGAUGCAUUCAGGAAUUUGUUGACCGGUCCAAUAAAUUGAUUGCUAUAAAGAAAAAGCUUCUGCAAGGAGGGCAACUCAAAGAUAUAAGAAGGAAGAAUCCCGUUGAGUAAGUUGUUCCCUAAAUUUAUGUACACAAGCUCUGAAAGUCCUUUGAAAUGAGCAGGGGAGAGGAGACCAGUUAAACCAUUAUGAGAGAGGUCCAAGUAGGUGAGUUUCUUGGACCAUUGUAAAUAUGGGACAGAACCAGUGAAGUUGUUCAAGGAGAAAUCUAAGUGAACAAGAUUCGUAAGGUUUGCCAUUGUGGAAGGUAUUGGUUCACUGAAAUUGCAAUUGGAGAGGUCUAACUUGGACAAGUUCCGAAGGUUGGAAAUGGACUCGGGUAAUGAACCAGAAAAAUUGGUGUAGCUUAGUGAUAUCGUCCUCAAAGAUCCAUUUCGAGGAAAAUUCAGAAUAUUACCACCAAGCAACUUGUUAUUUGACAAGUCCAAAAUCUCUAAAACUGGUACCUGAAAGAUUCUUUUAGGAAAUGCUCCCUGCAGAUUACAAGAGCUGAGGGUCAAGGUAGUCAUGUUUGAGAAAUUGGCAAAAUAUUCAGGUACUGAGGUAGAGAGAUUGUUCUGGUCAAGAUGGAUAAUAGAUAAAAACUGAAGCUUAGAAAGUGAUUCAUCAAUAGGGCCUGAAAUUUGACUAGUACGCACACUCAAGAUAGUCAAGUUAGGCAAAUACGACGAUAAAGAUUGACACCACUCGCUCCUUUGAGCUGAAAGAUCAACACCAUCAAGAUAAAGCUCUCUAAGUUCUGUUGAGUUCUCAAUGAAAUGUCUCAAAUUGGGAUUCUCAAGUUUUAGUGGAUGGAUUACAUCAGGAAAAAGAGUUGAGAGAUCAAGAGUAACCAGCCUUGUUAAUCUUGAUAACAUCAUUGGAAUUUGUCCAGCAAAACCAGCAUUCGAUAAAUUCAGGUACUUCAAGUUCGUGAGGUUGUCUAUACCAACUGGUAUGCCAACAUUGAACCUGUUGUAAGCCAAAUUUAGCUUCUCAAGAUAUCGAAGACUGAAAAGUGCACUUGAAUUCUCAAUUCCACUAGAAAUUGUCUCAUUAUCCAAUUCCAAGGCAAUCACAUGACCAGAGCCAUCACAUGUAACCCCAUUCCAUUUGCAACAUUCACUUGUGUUCUGGUUCCAUCUUGCCAAUUUAUUUGACAGAGUAGAAUCAUAAUGGAGGCUGCCCUUCAACUGCAGCAACAAUGCUUUUUGAUCAUCAAGACAUUGAGAGGAAACCAAGAAAAUCUCAUUACCUGAUAAUAUUUGGCAAAAGGGUAUCAAGAAAAGCCAUAGAAAAUGUAAAACUCUCAUUGCAUAAACCUUGUAUGGACUCCCAUAAAACUAACAAAUGAAGUCUUGUUGGAAUUAUAACCCAUCAAACUUCUUCCUUUUUCCACUUUGUGGGUUCCCCUUUGUUCAAGUUCUGAAUGAAGCGAAAGAGAAGGUAGAAAAGAGAGGUGAUUGCAAUGAAUAGAAAAGAAGAUGAAGAAUUGGUCAAAAGGACAAUAGGACAAGUGCUGUCUGUUUAAUAAUCGAUGUACAGAUUGUAUUGUUUCUUCUUUCUACGCGUUUUUUUGUCGGCCCUAUUUGUUUAUUCGUUGGGUGACUUUGAAGCUACUCUUCUCCUAAUUGAGAAAAUACUAAUCAAAACCUUGACCUUUUACAUUUGUUUUUAAUUUAUGAUUGAGGAGUUUCUAUGGAAGUGGGGUUGACUAUUUUCCAUUGGAUUCUGUCGCAUGCAAUUUCUUUGACUAGUAAUAAUGUAUUAUUAGUAUAAGGAAAAAUGACAUUUCGGAUCUCUCUAUUAUGUCAGUUUUAUAAGUUGGACACUUCUACUUAUAUGUUUAUCAUCUGAAACCCUAAACCUACUAAAAAGCAACAUUUUAAAUCUUUUUUUGGUCUCUCCCGCGUCUGUUGUCACGUCAGUCAUGCCUGCCACAUCAUCUACCACGUCAUUUUUAAAAAAAUAACAAUAAUAAUAAUUUAAUUAAAUAAGAAAAAUUUAUAAAUUGUAGAAAAAUUUGAAUAAUCAUGCUUUUAAAAUUUGAAAAUUUUGAAUAAUUAUUUUUAAAAUAAAAAAUAAUAGAAAAAGUAUUACACUAAAAUUAAUGAAAUAUUAAAAUUAAUUUAAUUAAUUAAUUUAAAUUUUAAAUUUAUAUUAGUUAAAAAUUAAUUAAUUGAAAUUCUUAACUAAUUUAUUUAUUUAAAUUAAUAAAUUUUAAAUUAAUUAAUUUAUAAAUUUAAAAUUCUUGCAAACUAAGGCAUCCGGAAGAAAAUUUGGAGGCUAAAGGGCAUGAAAAUCAGAAGUAACCUUUGAUCGUGAACUUCUAGUAACUCGCUUGAGGCUACCACCAGGGGAACAUACUUGCUCAGCAACUCUUUGUCCAAAGCCUGGAGGUGAAUGCAGAACACGAGAGCCAUCUUUCCCAUUAGUAUUCUUCUGAUGUCCACCUGGUUGACUCCUCUUUGGACGGACAACUUGGACAUCUUCAUCGCUGUCAUCUUCGGCAUCUUUUCCAUUAGUAUUCUUCUGAUGUCCACCUGGUUGACUCCUCUUUGGACGGACAACUUGGACAUCUUCAUCGCUGUCAUCUUCGGCAGAAGUUGAUGGCUCCAAGGAACUUGGUUCAUUUCUAGAUCUUCUGGGUCUGCUAUCAUGCUUGUCAGUUAGAUGUCCAACACCAUUACUCUUCUCAGAUGACUUUGCUGAACUCUUAUGUUUUGAUUGUGGUGAAGGAUAAUCUGGAGAAGUCUCUGUUGAAAAGCAUAAUCAAGAUAU